This 111-nucleotide microRNA precursor is filed under the name Marmota monax (woodchuck). Lineage: Eukaryota; Metazoa; Chordata; Mammalia; Rodentia; Sciuridae. The record is from RNAcentral.
AGUGGGAUAGCUGGGUCAAAUGGUCAAAUGGUGGUUCCAUUCCCAGUUUUCCAAGGAAUCUCCAUACUGCUUUCCAUAUUGGCUGCACCAAUUUGCAGUCCCACCAGCAAU